AUCGUCAUCAAAAAUGUCUGUUUCGUUUAUUUUUGCUGUUUCUGGUAAUUCUCCGUGAG
This 59-nucleotide non-coding RNA is filed under the name Plasmodium falciparum 3D7. Lineage: Eukaryota; Apicomplexa; Aconoidasida; Haemosporida; Plasmodiidae. The record is from RNAcentral.